UACGUAGGGUGCGAGCGUUAAUCGGAAUUACUGGGCGUAAAGCGUGCGCAGGCGGUGAUGUAAGACAGUUGUGAAAUCCCCGGGCUUAACCUGGGAAUGGCGAUGGAGACUGCGAGGCUAGAGUUUGGCAGAGGGGGGUAGAAUUCCACGUGUAGCAGUGAAAUGCGUAGAGAUGUGGAGGAACACCGAUGGCGAAGGCAGCCCCCUGGGUCAAAACUGACGCUCAUGCACGAAAGCGUGGGGAGCAAACAGG
Molecule: ribosomal RNA, 253 nt
Filed under: uncultured bacterium
Lineage: Bacteria
Description: partial 16S ribosomal RNA
Rfam family: Bacterial small subunit ribosomal RNA
Source: RNAcentral